RNAcentral lists this ribosomal RNA (1315 nucleotides) under uncultured Alphaproteobacteria bacterium. RNAcentral's name for it is "uncultured alpha proteobacterium 16S ribosomal RNA". It matches the Rfam family "Bacterial small subunit ribosomal RNA", at positions 33 to 1394 of the family's 1533-position model. The record is from RNAcentral. Lineage: Bacteria; Pseudomonadati; Pseudomonadota; Alphaproteobacteria.
ACGCUGGCGGCACGCCUAACACAUGCAAGUCGAACGAAGUAGCAAUACUUAGUGGCAGACGGGUGAGUAACAUGUAGGUAUCUGCCCUUUGGCCUGGAAUAACACGAGGAAACUUGUGCUAAUACCGGAUAAGUCUUUACGGAGAAAGCUUUAUGCACCAUUGGAUGAGCCUGCACUUGAUUAGUUUGUUGGUGGGGUAAUGGCCUACCAAGACUGUGAUCAAUAGCUGAUUUGAGAGGAUGAUCAGCCACAUUGGGACUGAGACACGGCCCAAACUCCUACGGGAGGCAGCAGUGGGGAAUCUUGCACAAUGGAGGAAACUCUGAUGCAGCGAUGCCGCGUGAGUGAAGAAGGCCUUUGGGUUGUAAAGCUCUUUCGUCGGGGAAGAAAAUGACUGUACCCGAAUAAGAAGGUCCGGCUAACUUCGUGCCAGCAGCCGCGGUAAUACGAAGGGACCUAGCGUAGUUCGGAAUUACUGGGCUUAAAGAGUUCGUAGGUGGUUGAAAAAGUUAGUGGUGAAAUCCCAGAGCUUAACUCUGGAACUGCCAUUAAAACUUUUCAGCUAGAGUAUGAUAGAGGAAAGCAGAAUUUCUAGUGUAGAGGUGAAAUUCGUAGAUAUUAGAAAGAAUACCAAUUGCGAAAGGCAGCUUUCUGGAUCAUUACUGACACUGAGGAACGAAAGCAUGGGUAGCGAAGAGGAUUAGAUACCCUCGUAGUCCAUGCCGUAAACGAUGUGUGUUAGACGUUGGAAAUUUAUUUUCAGUGUCGCAGCGAAAGCGAUAAACACACCGCCUGGGGAGUACGACCGCAAGGUUAAAACUCAAAUGAAUUGACGGGGACCCGCACAAGUAGUGGAGCAUGUGGUUUAAUUCGAAGAUACGCGCAGAACCUUACCAACACUUGACAUGUUCGUCGCGACUCUAAGAGAUUAGAGUUUUCGGUUCGGCCGGACGAAACACAGGUGCUGCAUGGCUGUCGUCAGCUCGUGUCGUGAGAUGUUGGGUUAAGUCCCGCAACGAGCGCAACCCUCACUUUUAGUUGCCAUCAUUAAGUUGGGCACUCUGAAAGAACUGCCAGUGAUAAGCUGGAGGAAGGUGGGGAUGACGUCAAGUCCUCAUGGCCCUUACGUGUUGGGCUACACACGUGCUACAAUGGUAUUUACAACAGGAAGCAAGACUGCGAAGUUAAGCAAAUCCCUAAAAGAUACCUCAGUUCGGAUUGCACUCUGCAACUCGAGUGCAUGAAGCUGGAAUUACUAGUAAUCGUGGAUCAGCGUGCCACGGUGAAUGCGUUCCCGGGUCUUGUACACACCGCC